Molecule: ribosomal RNA, 1627 nt
Filed under: metagenome
Description: bacterial LSU rRNA
Rfam family: Bacterial large subunit ribosomal RNA
Source: RNAcentral
AAAUGCAUGGUAGGGGAGCGUUCUGUAAGUCUGUGAAGGUGUCUUGUAAAGGAUGCUGGAGAUAUCAGAAGUGCGAAUGCUGACAUGAGUAGCGAUAAAGGGUGUGAAAAGCACCCUCGCCGAAAGCCCAAGGUUUCCUGCGCAACGUUCAUCGGCGCAGGGUGAGUCGGCCCCUAAGGCGAGGCAGAAAUGCGUAGUCGAUGGGAAACAGGUCAAUAUUCCUGUACCGCUCUAUGAUGCGAUGGGGGGACGGAGAAGGCUAGGUUAGCCAUCUGUUGGAAUAGGUGGUUUAAGCGUGUAGGCGUGCUCUUUAGGCAAAUCCGGAGAGCUAAGCUGAGGCGUGAUGACGAGCGCUCUUUGAGUGCGAAGUAACUGAUACCCUGCUUCCAGGAAAAGCCUCUAAGCUUCAGUCAUAGAGUGACCGUACCGCAAACCGACACAGGUGGGCAGGUAGAAGAUACUAAGGCGCUUGAGAGAACUCAGGAGAAGGAACUCGGCAAAUUGAUACCGUAACUUCGGGAGAAGGUAUGCCCCGUUAGCUUGUAGGAGAACAUCCGAAGGGCGAAGGGGCCGCAGAGAAUCGGUGGCUGCGACUGUUUAUUAAAAACACAGCACUCUGCAAACACGAAAGUGGACGUAUAGGGUGUGACGCCUGCCCGGUGCCGGAAGGUUAAGUGAUGGGGUGCAAGCUCUUGAUCGAGGCCCCGGUAAACGGCGGCCGUAACUAUAACGGUCCUAAGGUAGCGAAAUUCCUUGUCGGGUAAGUUCCGACCUGCACGAAUGGCGUAACGAUGGCCACACUGUCUCCUCCUGAGACUCAGCGAAGUUGAAGUGUUUGUGAAGAUGCAAUCUCCCCGCGGCUAGACGGAAAGACCCCAUGAACCUUUACUGUAGCUUUGCAUUGGACUUUGACGGGACUUGUGUAGGAUAGGUGGGAGGCAUUGAAACCGGGACGCUAGUUCCGGUGGAGCCAACCUUGAAAUACCACCCUGGUGUCGUUGAGGUUCUAACCCAGGUCUGUGAAUCCAGAUCGGGGACCGUGCAUGGUGGGCAGUUUGACUGGGGCGGUCUCCUCCCAAAAGGUAACGGAGGAGUACGAAGGUCUUCUAGGUACGGUCGGACAUCGUACUGAUAGUGCAAUGGCAAAAGAAGGCUUGACUGCGAGACCGACAAGUCGAGCAGGUGCGAAAGCAGGUCAUAGUGAUCCGGUGGUUCUGUAUGGAAGGGCCAUCGCUCAACGGAUAAAAGGUACUCUGGGGAUAACAGGCUGAUUCCGCCCAAGAGUUCACAUCGACGGCGGAGUUUGGCACCUCGAUGUCGGCUCAUCACAUCCUGGGGCUGUAGCCGGUCCCAAGGGUAUGGCUGUUCGCCAUUUAAAGUGGUACGUGAGCUGGGUUUAAAACGUCGUGAGACAGUUUGGUCCCUAUCUGCCGUGGGCGCUGGAUAUUUGAGGGGGCCUGCUCCUAGUACGAGAGGACCGGAGUGGACGAAUCUCUGGUGUACCGGUUGUGACGCCAGUCGCAUCGCCGGGUAGCUAAAUUCGGAAGAGAUAACCGCUGAAAGCAUCUAAGCGGGAAACUCGCCUCAAGAUGAGAUAUCCCUGGGAACUUGAUUCCCCUAAAGGGUC